Glycine soja is the source of this 751-nucleotide long non-coding RNA. RefSeq lists it as uncharacterized. The record is from RefSeq and is a predicted model, not a curated record. The transcript has 2 exons. Lineage: Eukaryota; Viridiplantae; Streptophyta; Magnoliopsida; Fabales; Fabaceae.
AAGGUAUCUAACAUACAAAGCUAGCAUCCAAAAUAAUAGAGGGAAAGAAAAACUUUCAGAUGGUUCAUCUUGCUAAAAUCAAAAUCCCUCCAAGGAAAAAAUAAAGGUUGUGCUCCAAGAAAUAUGAUAGAACUUAGCAUGGUUUAUGAUAAAAUCCAAACUGAGAACGGGUUUUUAGAGCUAUCAACUGCAGAAAGACAAGAAAUUCAGAUGAAGAAAGCCAAACUAAUUGGUAUGCUUGAUGAGGUGGAGCAAAGGUACAGGCAGUACCAACAGCAGAUGGAGAUAGUGGUUUUAUCGUUUGAUGUUUGAACUUCGAAGAAGAUUGCUUUGGAGGGAAAAUGGAAGGUUCGCGGCUCAAAUAUGUUGACCAUCAUCUUCGGCAACAGCGAGCACUUCCUCUCCUCACUCCACAAUUGCUUAUGAGAGUAUCAGCAUGCAAAACCAAAAGAGGUUUGCUUCACAAUUGAAGGGAGCAGUGUGGUAGCACACUGCUACCACUCGUUGUUUGAGUCCCUCACAAUUUCUUCUUAGUCCCCUGCUAUUAUGUGGGGGAGUGGUGAACAAUUGUAGUGUAAAGAAAGAAGGAAUUACCCUGCAUAGAACCAUUUGAGCUCUAAGGUAGCUUAGGAUUUGAAAGUAUAUGAUUGAGGUUGUAUAUUAUUUUUGUAAGUUCUAAAGGUGGGAUAGAUGGAUUGUUGUCAUAAAUUUUAUUUUGGUAAAAGAUACCAAUAUAUCUUCGAUUGAACAA